GAUGAACGCUGGCGGCGUGCCUAAUACAUGCAAGUCGAGCGAACAGACGAGGAGCUUGCUCCUCUGACGUUAGCGGCGGACGGGUGAGUAACACGUGGAUAACCUACCUAUAAGACUGGGAUAACUUCGGGAAACCGGAGCUAAUACCGGAUAAUAUAUUGAACCGCAUGGUUCAAUAGUGAAAGACGGUUUUGCUGUCACUUAUAGAUGGAUCCGCGCCGCAUUAGCUAGUUGGUAAGGUAACGGCUUACCAAGGCAACGAUGCGUAGCCGACCUGAGAGGGUGAUCGGCCACACUGGAACUGAGACACGGUCCAGACUCCUAAGGGAGGCAGCAGUAGGGAAUCUUCCGCAAUGGGCGAAAGCCUGACCGAGCAACGCCGCGUGAGUGAUGAAGGUCUUCGGAUCGUAAAACUCUGUUAUUAGGGAAGAACAAAAGUGUAAGUAAAUAUGCCCGUCUUGACGGUACCUAAUCAGAAAGCCCCGGCUAACUACGUG
RNAcentral lists this ribosomal RNA (497 nucleotides) under uncultured bacterium. RNAcentral describes it as "partial 16S ribosomal RNA". It matches the Rfam family "Bacterial small subunit ribosomal RNA", at positions 28 to 507 of the family's 1533-position model. The record is from RNAcentral.